RNAcentral lists this ribosomal RNA (458 nucleotides) under uncultured bacterium. RNAcentral describes it as "bacterial SSU rRNA". It matches the Rfam family "Bacterial small subunit ribosomal RNA", at positions 28 to 494 of the family's 1533-position model. The record is from RNAcentral.
GAUGAACGCUGGCGGCGUGCUUAACACAUGCAAGUCGAACGGGAUCCAUCAGGCUUUGCUUGGUGGUGAGAGUGGCGAACGGGUGAGUAAUGCGUGACCGACCUGCCCCAUACACCGGAAUAGCUCCUGGAAACGGGUGGUAAUGCCGGAUGCUCCGACUCCUCGCAUGGGGUGUCGGGAAAGAUUUCAUCGGUAUGGGAUGGGGUCGCGUCCUAUCAGGUAGUCGGCGGGGUAACGGCCCACCGAGCCUACGACGGGUAGCCGGCCUGAGAGGGCGACCGGCCACAUUGGGACUGAGAUACGGCCCAGACUCCUACGGGAGGCAGCAGUGGGGAAUAUUGCACAAUGGGCGCAAGCCUGAUGCAGCGACGCCGCGUGCGGGAUGACGGCCUUCGGGUUGUAAACCGCUUUUGAUCGGGAGCAAGCCUUCGGGUGAGUGUACCUUUCGAAUAAGCACC